GAUCUGGAACUAGAAGACCUUGGCGACGGUGGAUCCGAGACAACAACGCAGAUCUGAGGUGGAGGAUAAACGAAACAGGAAUAGAGAUGCGGUUUGAAUGAGUGUAGGAUGGACGGCGGUGGCAAGGCCUAUGGAGGCGGUGGUCGAUAAUGGAGGAAAAUGAGUUCCAUUACAGUGACGGAGAGAAAUGUAUUUUCUGAAGAUCCAAAUCUCAACAAAGGAAAAAUUUUUUUUUUUUUUU
This 241-nucleotide long non-coding RNA is filed under the name Arachis ipaensis. Its description in RNAcentral is "long non-coding RNA (AIPA_LNC002296)". Lineage: Eukaryota; Viridiplantae; Streptophyta; Magnoliopsida; Fabales; Fabaceae. The record is from RNAcentral.